RNAcentral lists this ribosomal RNA (460 nucleotides) under uncultured bacterium. RNAcentral's name for it is "partial 16S ribosomal RNA". It matches the Rfam family "Bacterial small subunit ribosomal RNA", at positions 338 to 795 of the family's 1533-position model. The record is from RNAcentral.
CCUACGGGGGGCAGCAGUGAGGAAUAUUGGUCAAUGGGCUUACGCCUGAACCAGCCAAGUCGCGUGAGGGAAGACUGCCCUAUGGGUUGUAAACCUCUUUUGUCAGGGAGCAACGCCGGCUACGUGUAGCCGGACUGAGAGUACCUGAAGAAAAAGCAUCGGCUAACUCCGUGCCAGCAGCCGCGGUAAUACGGAGGAUGCGAGCGUUAUCCGGAUUUAUUGGGUUUAAAGGGUGCGUAGGCGGAAUGCCAAGUCAGCGGUAAAAUCGCGGGGCUCAACCUCGCUCCGCCGUUGAAACUGGCGUUCUGGAGUGGGCGAGAAGUAUGCGGAAUGCGUGGUGUAGCGGUGAAAUGCAUAGAUAUCACGCAGAACUCCGAUUGCGAAGGCGACUAUCUGGCACAUAACUGACGCUGAGGAGCGAAAGCGUGGGUAGCAAACAGGAUUAGAUACCCGUGUAGUC